RNAcentral lists this ribosomal RNA (164 nucleotides) under uncultured bacterium. Its description in RNAcentral is "partial 16S rRNA". It matches the Rfam family "Bacterial small subunit ribosomal RNA", at positions 355 to 511 of the family's 1533-position model. The record is from RNAcentral.
UAGGGAAUCUUCCACAAUGGGCGAAAGCCUGAUGGAGCAACGCCGCGUGUGUGAUGAAGGGUUUCGGCUCGUAAAACACUGUUGUAAGAGAAGAAUGACAUUGAGAGUAACUGUUCAAUGUGUGACGGUAUCUUACCGGAAAGGAACGGCUAAAUACGUGCCAC